Thelohanellus kitauei is the source of this 73-nucleotide transfer RNA. It matches the Rfam family "tRNA". From Rfam's summary of the family: Transfer RNA (tRNA) molecules are approximately 80 nucleotides in length. Their secondary structure includes four short double-helical elements and three loops (D, anti-codon, and T loops). Lineage: Eukaryota; Metazoa; Cnidaria; Myxozoa; Bivalvulida; Myxobolidae. The record is from Rfam.
GCCCGGCUAGCUCAGUCGGUAGAGCACAAGACUCUUAAUCUUGGGGUCGCGGGUUCGAGACCCGCGUCGGGCG